CUGUGCUGAUUCGAUCGGGAUAGUCAUCAAUUAAAUUAGAAAAACCGGGCUGACUUCUUUUGUCAAUGGCGGGCCACAAUGCAUCUUCGUGAUGCAGAGCUGCAAAGCCGGUGGAUUACAAAGACGGGGAGCACUCAAAUAUUUUAAACUCGGACUUUUCAUCACAUCGUCAGUACGGCCUUUC
This 184-nucleotide small RNA is filed under the name uncultured Prevotella sp. RNAcentral describes it as "Bacteroidales-1 6S-Bacteroidales RNA suggested". It matches the Rfam family "Bacteroidales-1 6S-Bacteroidales RNA suggested". Lineage: Bacteria; Pseudomonadati; Bacteroidota; Bacteroidia; Bacteroidales; Prevotellaceae. The record is from RNAcentral.